This 116-nucleotide ribosomal RNA is filed under the name uncultured eukaryote. RNAcentral describes it as "partial small subunit ribosomal RNA". It matches the Rfam family "Bacterial small subunit ribosomal RNA", at positions 1410 to 1525 of the family's 1533-position model. The record is from RNAcentral.
GUGGGUUGCACCAGAAGUAGAUAGUCUAACCGCAAGGGGGACGUUUACCACGGUGUGGUUCAUGACUGGGGUGAAGUCGUAACAAGGUAGCCGUAGGUGAACCUGCAGAAGGAUCA